AACGAACGCUGGCGGCAUGCCUAACACAUGCAAGUCGAACGAGACCUUCGGGUCUAGUGGCGCACGGGUGCGUAACGCGUGGGAACCUGCCCUUAGGUUCGGAAUACCUCCCCGAAAGGGGUGCUAAUACCGGAUAAUGUCUUCGGACCAAAGAUUUACCGCCUUGGGAUGGGCCCUGGUUGGAUUGGCUAGUUGGUAGGGUAAAAGCCUACCAAGGCGAGGAUCCAUAGCUGGUCGGUGAGGAAGACAGGCUGCAAUGGAACUGAGACACGGCCCAGACCGCUAGGGAAGGGUGCGGGAGAGAGUAUUGGACAAGGGAGGAAAGCGUGACCCAGCAGUGCCGCGGGAGUGAGGAAGCCCUUAGGGUUGUAAUGCCCUCUUAGCCGGGAUGAUAAUGACGGUACCGGGAGAAGAAGCACCGGCUAACUCCGUG
This 433-nucleotide ribosomal RNA is filed under the name uncultured bacterium. RNAcentral's name for it is "partial 16S ribosomal RNA". It matches the Rfam family "Bacterial small subunit ribosomal RNA", at positions 29 to 507 of the family's 1533-position model. The record is from RNAcentral.